This 768-nucleotide long non-coding RNA is filed under the name Ananas comosus (pineapple). Its description in RNAcentral is "long non-coding RNA (ACOM_LNC027684)". The record is from RNAcentral. Lineage: Eukaryota; Viridiplantae; Streptophyta; Magnoliopsida; Poales; Bromeliaceae.
CACUCCAAGUCUGGUGAAAUAUUUAUAAGAAAAUAUUUUCAAUAUUUAGAGUAAGAUCAGUACCUUUGAUAUUAUAUUCAAGUCAUUUAUCACUAUUUUUUAAUGAGAUUUUUAUUUCAGCUGUUCAUUUUUAGACUACUUGUUUGAUAGCUAAAUAAUAUCGAAAAAUUAUUAAAUUUGGUUUUCAAACACUUUUAAUAGUAUAGAUCAAAUCUAACAGAGCCAAUCUUCGAUUUGGAAGCCGCAUCACCAAAAAUAAUUUAGUAGCACGGAGACCCUAUAUAUAUUUAUAUAUAUAGAGAGAGAGAGAGAGGGGGGGGGGCUAGUAUGCUUCUAGAAGGACUGAGCUCUUUGUUCUUCAAGUCAUUUUCGAUAUUGAGACUUUCAAAUCGACAAUCGGCUCCGUUAGACUGAUAUAGAAUAUUUGAAGUAUCUAAAAAAUAAAUUUUGUGAUUUUUUAUAUAAUUUGCUUAGUGAUCAAGGGGCUCAAAAUCAAUAGCUGAAAAUAUAAAUUUUACAAAAUGUGAUGAUAUGAUAUUAAAAUUUUAAAUCAAAGAUAUAUUGAUCUUAUUUUAUAUAGUAUAAAAAAUUUUCAAUCAAAAUUUUACAUGAUUUAGCUAGUAUAAUCUAACGGGUAGAAAUGAUUAAAGGGUGGAUCUGAUGGCCGAAAACUUUAUAGCACCAAGCACUUGAUACUAUCGAUAGUGUAAUAGUAUAUAGAUUAUAUGUAUGUAUGUAUGUAUGUAUGUAUGUAUAAAACAACAUGAA